This 497-nucleotide ribosomal RNA is filed under the name uncultured bacterium. Its description in RNAcentral is "partial 16S ribosomal RNA". It matches the Rfam family "Bacterial small subunit ribosomal RNA", at positions 28 to 507 of the family's 1533-position model. The record is from RNAcentral.
GACGAACGCUGGCGGCGUGCCUAAUACAUGCAAGUUGAGCGCUGAAGGUUGGUACUUGUACCAACUGGAUGAGCAGCGAACGGGUGAGUAACGCGUGGGGAAUCUGCCUUUGAGCGGGGGACAACAUUUGGAAACGAAUGCUAAUACCGCAUAAAAACUUUAAACACAAGUUUUAAGUUUGAAAGAUGCAAUUGCAUCACUCAAAGAUGAUCCCGCGUUGUAUUAGCUAGUUGGUGAGGUAAAGGCUGACCAAUGCGAUGAUACAUAGCCGACCUGAGAGGGUGAUCAGCCACAUUGGGACUAGGAGACGGCCCAAACCCCUACGGGAGGCAGCAGUAGGGAAUCUUCGGCAAUGGACGAAAGUCUGACCGAGCAACGCCGCGGGAGUGAAGAAGGUUUUCGGAUCGUAAAACUCUGUUGGUAGAGAAGAACGUUGGUGAGAGUGGAAAGCUCAUCAAGUGACGGUAACUACCCAGAAAGGGACGGCUAACUACGUG